RNAcentral lists this non-coding RNA (213 nucleotides) under Gottschalkia acidurici. Its description in RNAcentral is "Clostridium acidurici T-box sequence". It matches the Rfam family "T-box leader". From Rfam's summary of the family: Uncharged tRNA acts as the effector for transcription antitermination of genes in the T-box leader family. T-boxes are found upstream of many aminoacyl-tRNA synthetase genes and some amino acid biosynthetic genes usually in Gram-positive bacteria. The anticodon of a specific tRNA base pairs to a specifier sequence within the T-box motif, and the NCCA acceptor tail of the tRNA base pairs to a conserved bulge in the T-box antiterminator hairpin. The record is from RNAcentral. Lineage: Bacteria; Bacillati; Bacillota; Tissierellia; Tissierellales; Gottschalkiaceae.
UAUAAAGCAAUGAUGGAGAUAAGUAUUUUAUGAUAAGUUGCAGCGAGUCGGUGGUUGGUGUGAACCGAUACUUUAGUAAUAUACACUCACUCCUAAGCAGUAUCUGCGAAAGGUUUUUCCUAUUAGUUGAUACCGACUAGCCUCGAUAACGGCUUAAAGAGAUAUCUUUUUGGUGUAACUAAGGUGGUACCGCGGGUUCAACUCGUCCUUUAA